This 755-nucleotide ribosomal RNA is filed under the name Massilia sp. Its description in RNAcentral is "bacterial SSU rRNA". It matches the Rfam family "Bacterial small subunit ribosomal RNA", at positions 72 to 824 of the family's 1533-position model. The record is from RNAcentral. Lineage: Bacteria; Pseudomonadati; Pseudomonadota; Betaproteobacteria; Burkholderiales; Oxalobacteraceae.
GCGCGGGGCAACCUGGCGGCGAGUGGCGAACGGGUGAGUAAUAUAUCGGAACGUACCCAGAAGUGGGGGAUAACGUAGCGAAAGUUACGCUAAUACCGCAUACGAUCUACGGAUGAAAGUGGGGGACCUUCGGGCCUCAUGCUUUUGGAGCGGCCGAUAUCUGAUUAGCUAGUUGGUGAGGUAAAGGCUCACCAAGGCGACGAUCAGUAGCUGGUCUGAGAGGACGACCAGCCACACUGGAACUGAGACACGGUCCAGACUCCUACGGGAGGCAGCAGUGGGGAAUUUUGGACAAUGGGCGCAAGCCUGAUCCAGCAAUGCCGCGUGAGUGAAGAAGGCCUUCGGGUUGUAAAGCUCUUUUGUCAGGGAAGAAACGGCUCCGGCUAAUAUCCGGGGCUAAUGACGGUACCUGAAGAAUAAGCACCGGCUAACUACGUGCCAGCAGCCGCGGUAAUACGUAGGGUGCAAGCGUUAAUCGGAAUUACUGGGCGUAAAGCGUGCGCAGGCGGUUUUGUAAGUCUGACGUGAAAGCCCCGGGCUCAACCUGGGAAUUGCGUUGGAGACUGCAAGGCUUGAAUCUGGCAGAGGGGGGUAGAAUUCCACGUGUAGCAGUGAAAUGCGUAGAGAUGUGGAGGAACACCGAUGGCGAAGGCAGCCCCCUGGGUCAAGAUUGACGCUCAUGCACGAAAGCGUGGGGAGCAAACAGGAUUAGAUACCCUGGUAGUCCACGCCCUAAACGAUGUCUACUAGUUGUC